GCCAGACUCCUACGGGAGGCAGCAGUGGGGAAUAUUGGGCAAUGGGCGCAAGCCUGACCCAGCAACGCCGCGUGAAGGAAGGAGGCUUUCGGGUUGUAAACUUCUUUUGACAGGGAAGAGUAGAAGACGGUACCUGUCGAAUAAGCCACGGCUAACUACGUGCCAGCAGCCGCGGUAAUACGUAGGUGGCAAGCGUUGUCCGGAUUUACUGGGUGUAAAGGGCGUGUAGCCGGGUUGACAAGUCAGAUGUGAAAUCCUGUGGCUUAACCGCAGAACUGCAUUUGAAACUGUUGAUCUUGAGUACUGGAGAGGCAGACGGAAUUCCUAGUGUAGCGGUGAAAUGCGUAGAUAUUAGGAGGAACACCAGUGGCGAAGGCGGUCUGCUGGACAGCAACUGACGGUGAGGCGCGAAAGCGUGGGGAGCGAACAGGAUUAGAUACCCUCGUAUG
Molecule: ribosomal RNA, 449 nt
Filed under: uncultured bacterium
Lineage: Bacteria
Description: bacterial SSU rRNA
Rfam family: Bacterial small subunit ribosomal RNA
Source: RNAcentral